This 553-nucleotide ribosomal RNA is filed under the name Phlyctimantis leonardi (olive striped frog). Its description in RNAcentral is "partial 16S ribosomal RNA". It matches the Rfam family "Bacterial large subunit ribosomal RNA", at positions 1817 to 2595 of the family's 2925-position model. The record is from RNAcentral. Lineage: Eukaryota; Metazoa; Chordata; Amphibia; Anura; Hyperoliidae.
CGCCUCUUGCUAAAUUAUAAGAGGUCCCGCCUGCCCUGUGACUUAGUUUUAACGGCCGCGGUACCUUAACCGUGCAAAGGUAGCACAAUCAAUCGUCCUCUAAAUAGGGACUAGUAUGAAUGGCACCACGAAGGCAUAACUGUCUCCCCCCUCUAAUCAAUGAAACUGAUUUUCUCGUGAAGAAGCGAGAAUAUAAUUAUAAGACGAGAAGACCCCAUGGAGCUUUAAACCCAUCACCACCUGCCUACUAUACACCAAAGAACUCAGCAGCUCUGUUCUCAUGAUGGUUUUCGGCUGGGGUGGCCUUGGAGUAAAACAAACCCUCCAAACUGAACGGAAUAAGCCCCUAAUUAUAGAACUACUAUUCAAAAACUCAAAACUUUGACAUAAUUGACCCAAUAAAUUGAUCAACGAACCAAGUUACCCUGGGGAUAACAGCGCAUUCCAUUUCAAGAGCCCCUAUCGACAAAUGGGUUUACGACCUCGAUGUUGGAUCGGGGUAUCCUAGCGGCGCAGCCGUUGCUAAAGGUUCGUUUGUUCAACGAUUAAUAAC